GCUUAACCGUAAAAUUGCAGUUGAUACUGUAUGUCUUGAGUGUACAAGAGGUGGGCGGAAUUCGUGGUGUAGCGGUGAAAUGCUUAGAUAUCACGAAGAACUCCGAUUGCGAAGGCAGCUCACUAGGGUACAACUGACACUGAGGCUCGAAAGUGUGGGUAUCAAACAGGAUUAGAUACCCUGGUAGUCCACACAGUAAACGAUGAAUACUCGCUGUUUGCGAUAUACAGUAAGCGGCCAAGCGAAAGCAUUAAGUAUUCCACCUGGGGAGUACGCCGGCAACGGUGAAACUCAAAGGAAUUGACGGGGGCCCGCACAAGCGGAGGAACAUGUGGUUUAAUUCGAUGAUACGCGAGGAACCUUACCCAGGCUUAAAUUGCAGUGGAAUAUGGAUGAAAGUUCAUAGCCUUCGGGCCGCUGUGAAGGUGCUGCAUGGUUGUCGUCAGCUCGUGCCGUGAGGUGUCGGCUUAAGUGCCAUAACGAGCGCAACCCUUAUCUUUAGUUACUAACAGGUUAUGCUGAGGACUCUAAAGAGACUGCCGUCGUAAGAUGCGAGGAAGGUGGGGAUGACGUCAAAUCAGCACGGCCCUUACGUCUGGGGCUACACACGUGUUACAAUGGGGGGUACAGAA
Molecule: ribosomal RNA, 632 nt
Filed under: uncultured bacterium
Lineage: Bacteria
Description: bacterial SSU rRNA
Rfam family: Bacterial small subunit ribosomal RNA
Source: RNAcentral